This 492-nucleotide ribosomal RNA is filed under the name uncultured bacterium. RNAcentral describes it as "partial 16S ribosomal RNA". It matches the Rfam family "Bacterial small subunit ribosomal RNA", at positions 29 to 507 of the family's 1533-position model. The record is from RNAcentral.
AGUGAACGCUGGCGGUAGGCCUAACACAUGCAAGUCGAACGGCAGCACAGUAAGAGCUUGCUCUUACGGGUGGCGAGUGGCGGACGGGUGAGGAAUACAUCGGAAUCUACUUUUUCGUGGGGGAUAACGUAGGGAAACUUACGCUAAUACCGCAUACGACCUACGGGUGAAAGCAGGGGAUCUUCGGACCUUGCGCGAUUGAAUGAGCCGAUGUCGGAUUAGCUAGUUGGCGGGGUAAAGGCCCACCAAGGCGACGAUCCGUAGCUGGUCUGAGAGGAUGAUCAGCCACACUGGAACUGAGACACGGUCCAGACUCCUACGGGAGGCAGCAGUGGGGAAUAUUGGUCAAUGGGCGCAAGCCUGAUCCAGCCAUACCGCGUGGGUGAAGAAGGCCUUCGGGUUGUAAAGCCCUUUUGUUGGGAAAGAAAAGCAGCAGGUUAAUACCCCGCUGUUCUGACGGUACCCAAAGAAUAAGCACCGGCUAACUUCGCG